GGCUAAGGAGAUUAGUUUUGUAUAUAUUUUCAAUAUCUAAUAUAUAUAGGGCAUCAAAUACUCUGCUUAAACACACAUCUAGAUUCACAUCGAAUCACUUAGAACAAUAUGUCAUUCAAAAUAAAAUCAUGUAUGUACUAAUUAACAAUAAUGUUCCAAAGUUUAAUGCUACGAGAAUAUUUGUAUACAAUAUAUAUAAAUAUAAGUCCUAGAUUACAAAUAAUAAUCAUGGGGUCUUGCAUGCUCCACGAACAGUAGCUAGUAAAGGUACGGUCGUUUUCCAUCAAUAACUUAGGAACCUCGGAAUCAAUCGUUUAAAGUCCACUUUAGUCUUUAAAUAGCCACAGAUUCAUUCUCAUAACUCUUAAAUCAUCAUUUUUAUAAACCUUUCAUAUAAUACAUAUAUUACACAAUCAAAGACUUUUAAACCUAAGUAAACAAAAACAU
RNAcentral lists this long non-coding RNA (447 nucleotides) under Capsella rubella. RNAcentral describes it as "long non-coding RNA (CRUB_LNC002945)". Lineage: Eukaryota; Viridiplantae; Streptophyta; Magnoliopsida; Brassicales; Brassicaceae. The record is from RNAcentral.